AGGAAAGCAAAACAACAAAUACGAAACCUGUCAAUGAAUCAGAAACAAGAUGAAGAUGUGAAAGCAAAACAACAAAUACGAAACCUGUCAAUGAAUCAGAAACAAGUUGAAGAUGUGUACGUAAAUCAAAGUUCAAUCAUUAAUCAAGUAAAUAAGAAAGAUGUAUCCGAAGAUGUGUAUAUGUAUUCUAUGCCAACUGAGCAACAUAUUUACACAGAUUUGAAGACAACAUAAGCAACACGUGGUUGAUACAAACCUACGGAAUUAUUUACAAAAUCAUUAAUGUAUUAUUCUUUUGUCAAAUUCUGAACAAUUUUUUUUUUCUCUCUAACUUUAUUUCACCAUUCUUUUCUCUGAUUUUUAAUCAUUAUCGUCAAUAUUAUACACACUACUGUAAUAAUAUAAUGUUGUCAAUGAACAAUUACAUAGUUAAUUUGCAUAGUUAAUAUAGAUGAAAACAAGUAAUAGGCCUAAGCCAGUAAAUUGAGAUUAUCAAAACAAUUUUGAACGCAACCUUACCAUACAUAUACUUUUAUCGUCUUUUUUCACACAAAAAAACAAAUUUGACGAAAAAUUCGGGAGCGGUUGAUGACAUACAGAUUCCUUAAUCUUUAAUUUAAAAACUGGUGCCAAAGGCGGCAAGAAGAGUGGUUGCGCUCCUUUUUCUCCCAUUGUUUUAAUAUUGAAAAAUCUGUAACUCUUCAACUACUCUCCUACUUUUUUUGUCAAAUAAACUUUGUGUCAUAGUAAAGUCAGUUGUACAACAUAUCACAAACAUUUGUUUUGUUUUGUUUUUUUUUGCUCCAGAGCCUGGCCAUAAAUUAUUAUUAUUGACUGUAUAAAAAGCAGCUAUUGAUAAGUUGGUUGAAUACUAUUGUUCCUGCUUCUUGUGCUGACGUUCACCCGUUCAAUCCUCGUUAGCUCCAGACAUUUUUUACGUUCAAUUUUUACAAUGAAUGAAUGGAAUGUUUUAUUAACAAUUGUUCACAAUACUUACGAGCGGUAAAGUCAGGGGAACCGUAACCUUUAGCUUGGCGCUGGUUCGAACGGCUCACUCGCCAAUGGUUCUGGUGGUGGAACAAGUCUUCUCGUAUAAAGACAUUAAAUCGUAGGCCCAGUUUUGGCUCCUCUACACUUUAAAGAACCCAGUACAUUCUUCGAGAAGAGUAGGGGGUUACCCAGGUGUACUGCUCCAUUAAGUCCCCUGUUAAUUGGAUAUGCCAGGUAGGACAGUGAUUACUUUUACUUAUUGGCAUAUCCUAGGGGCUCGUUCCGAAGGAAAUAGAAUGAAAAAAAAAAUGAAAUCAAUACUUAAUGAUGGUCACAAAACCAGUAGACUUUUAAGCCAAGUUCCAGGGGGAAAAAGUUUUUGAUGUGUUGUACAACUGCUUUUUCUAAGACACAAAAAGCAUACUUUAAGAAAAAAUACAGAAUUUUUAAUAUUUAAAAAAUGGGGUUAUACUGAUCAACGUUUGAUUGAAAUCAGCCCAACCGUUUUUGGUUCUAGUAGCGUUUUGAAAUGUUGCCUGCUGAAAAAGAAGAAUCCGAAGAACGCUAAGAAAACAGUCAGAAGCCAGUUUACCUGCGGCUGACUAAGUAAAUAACGGAAUCAUUUCAAUUUCGGUUAUUUUACCAAUUCCAAAGUUUCAAACAUUUUGGCAUUUAUGCAAAACCGACCUGCACACCUGCAAAAUUGGCAACGUAAGAGUUAAUGACUAUCGUUCAGUGGCUUUAAAUUCUACGACUUUUGUUUUCAUUUCUGGUUUUAUUAUCAAACUCAUUGCAAAAUUAAUUGAAGUAUGAAAAGGUUUACAAAAGCAAAAAAAAAUAGUGCGAAAACCCCCCCAAUGACAAUAAAAUACAUCAAGAGUAAAAAAAAAGUAUCAGCUCAAAAAGGGUAAAAAUAUUCAAAAAGAUAAAAGACCAUUAACAAUAAAAACUAUAGACCAAACACCAAAAGCAACUGAAACACAAAACAAUUACAGCAAUAAAAUCGAUAAUUAAUAUCAAAGGGCAACACUCAAAAAUCAUACAACAUCCAAAUUAUUAUUAUCAUACAAAUUCAUUAUUGUUGUUAAUAAAUAUUAUUGAAAUAUAAGAUUUACAUAAAUAUAAAUAAUGGAGACUGUAGUAAAGUCAUUAUAAAGUCAAGAAGGGGAAGAAUAGUUCCUACCCCGCUAGAAAUUAUUGAGUCCACUUGAGAUUCCGAAAGAAUAUAUAUGGUCAACUUAUGCGGAUUUUAAGUUACUCGAAAUGAGUAUUAACACAAAGCUAAUAUCAUAGAUUCUCAGUUUCCUGUGGGAGAGACCACAAUUUUGUGAAAAUAGGUAGUACGAUGUAAGAUUCAUAAGUAUGCCGAUAACACAUUACGGUAAUAAUUGGCUAUUUAAGAAACAACCAAUAUAAAUAAAUUAAGUUAACCGGUUUUUUGCAUGGUGUGUUUACCACAAUUAGAAACUAAAUAUUAGUAAUACAAAGAAAUAAUCAUUUACUUUAGAAGGAUAGGCACAUGACACGCCCAUCUAACUAUUAAAUAAGCUGCUGUCGAACAGGUACAAGAAUGUAGAUAUUUUAGGUAGGCCUACUACUAUCAUUAAUAAAUUAAUAAGAUGGGUUGGAACACUAACUCAAUAUUAUGAUUAUUAUAGUAUAAUAAAACUCGUCAAAGACUACACUUCCUUAGGAAACUUGUUGACAACACAAAUUGACAAAUGUUGUGUUGUCAAUACCUUUAAACUUAUUUAUCAAUCUGUCAUACAAAGUAUUUGUACAAUAGGGUUUUUAUUCAUGGUAAUAUGUUUAAAGUAAGUAAAACUAAAUUUGAACGAAUAAACUACUCUGUAAUGAUGGACAACACUUA
Anneissia japonica is the source of this 2860-nucleotide long non-coding RNA. RefSeq lists it as uncharacterized. NCBI's taxonomy places the organism in Eukaryota, Metazoa, Echinodermata, Crinoidea, Comatulida, Comatulidae. The transcript has 2 exons. The record is from RefSeq and is a predicted model, not a curated record.